GACGAACGCUGGCGGCGUGCUUAACUCAUGCAAGUCGAACGGUAAGGCCCUUCGGGGUACACGAGUGGCGAACGGGUGAGUAACACGUGGGUGAUCUGCCCUGCACUUCGGGAUAAGACUGGGAAACUGGGUCUAAUACCGGAUAGGACUCCUGGCUUCAUGGUUGGGGGUGGAAAGCUUUUGCGGUGUGGGAUGGGCCCGCGGCCUAUCAGCUUGUUGGUGGGGUAAUGGCCUACCAAGGCGACGACGGGUAGCCGGCCUGAGAGGGUGACCGGUCACACUGGGACUGAGAUACGGCCCAGACUCCUACGGGAGGCAGCAGUGGGGAAUAUUGCACAAUGGGCGCAAGCCUGAUGCAGCGACGCCGCGUGAGGGAUGACGGCCUUCGGGUUGUAAACCUCUUUCAGCUAUGACGAAGCGCAAGUGACGGUAGUAGCAGAAGAAGGACCGGCCAACUACGUGCCAGCCGCCGCAGUAA
RNAcentral lists this ribosomal RNA (478 nucleotides) under uncultured bacterium. RNAcentral's name for it is "partial 16S ribosomal RNA". It matches the Rfam family "Bacterial small subunit ribosomal RNA", at positions 28 to 523 of the family's 1533-position model. The record is from RNAcentral.